GAAAAUUUGGAAGACCUGAGAAUUGUAGGGUAAUACACCCAGGAGCAAUACCUAGUAUUUUGACCAUAACUGAUUAUUUAGACCUCCAAAUUAAGUGAUUCAAAAUGAUAAUUAAAAUUAAGACAUAGAGAAAUAAUUUUCAUGAAGAUCACUUUGAUAAAUUAUGACUAAAACUAAGUUGAAAUUGAGUUUUAAAGUCAGGUGCAAA
This 208-nucleotide unclassified non-coding RNA is filed under the name Hevea brasiliensis (rubber tree). Lineage: Eukaryota; Viridiplantae; Streptophyta; Magnoliopsida; Malpighiales; Euphorbiaceae. The record is from RNAcentral.